This 446-nucleotide ribosomal RNA is filed under the name Fusarium anthophilum. Its description in RNAcentral is "eukaryotic LSU rRNA". The stretch from base 119 to 272 matches the Rfam family "5.8S ribosomal RNA". Lineage: Eukaryota; Fungi; Ascomycota; Sordariomycetes; Hypocreales; Nectriaceae. The record is from RNAcentral.
CAUACCAAUUGUUGCCUCGGCGGAUCAGCCCGCUCCCGGUAAAACGGGACGGCCCGCCAGAGGACCCCUAAACUCUGUUUCUAUAUGUAACUUCUGAGUAAAACCAUAAAUAAAUCAAAACUUUCAACAACGGAUCUCUUGGUUCUGGCAUCGAUGAAGAACGCAGCAAAAUGCGAUAAGUAAUGUGAAUUGCAGAAUUCAGUGAAUCAUCGAAUCUUUGAACGCACAUUGCGCCCGCCAGUAUUCUGGCGGGCAUGCCUGUUCGAGCGUCAUUUCAACCCUCAAGCCCAGCUUGGUGUUGGGACUCGCGAGUCAAAUCGCGUUCCCCAAAUUGAUUGGCGGUCACGUCGAGCUUCCAUAGCGUAGUAGUAAAACCCUCGUUACUGGUAAUCGUCGCGGCCACGCCGUUAAACCCCAACUUCUGAAUGUUGACCUCGGAUCAGGUA